RNAcentral lists this ribosomal RNA (2513 nucleotides) under human gut metagenome. Its description in RNAcentral is "bacterial LSU rRNA". It matches the Rfam family "Bacterial large subunit ribosomal RNA", at positions 1 to 2541 of the family's 2925-position model. The record is from RNAcentral.
UUAAGCGACUAAGCGUACACGGUGGAUGCCCUGGCAGUCAGAGGCGAUGAAGGACGUGCUAAUCUGCGAUAAGCGUCGGUGAGGUGAUAUGAACCGUUAUAACCGGCGAUUUCCGAAUGGGGAAACCCAGUGUGUUUCGACACACUAUCAUUAACUGAAUCCAUAGGUUAAUGAGGCGAACCGGGGGAACUGAAACAUCUAAGUACCCCGAGGAAAAGAAAUCAACCGAGAUUCCCCCAGUAGCGGCGAGCGAACGGGGAGGAGCCCAGAGCCUGAAUCAGUGUGUGUGUUAGUGGAAGCGUCUGGAAAGGCGUGCGAUACAGGGUGACAGCCCCGUACACAAAAAUGCACAUAUUGUGAGCUCGAUGAGUAGGGCGGGACACGUGGUAUCCUGUCUGAAUAUGGGGGGACCAUCCUCCAAGGCUAAAUACUCCUGACUGACCGAUAGUGAACCAGUACCGUGAGGGAAAGGCGAAAAGAACCCCGGCGAGGGGAGUGAAAAAGAACCUGAAACCGUGUACGUACAAGCAGUGGGAGCCUCUUAAUGGGGUGACUGCGUACCUUUUGUAUAAUGGGUCAGCGACUUAUAUUCUGUAGCAAGGUUAACCGAAUAGGGGAGCCGAAGGGAAACCGAGUCUUAACUGGGCGUUAAGUUGCAGGGUAUAGACCCGAAACCCGGUGAUCUAGCCAUGGGCAGGUUGAAGGUUGGGUAACACUAACUGGAGGACCGAACCGACUAAUGUUGAAAAAUUAGCGGAUGACUUGUGGCUGGGGGUGAAAGGCCAAUCAAACCGGGAGAUAGCUGGUUCUCCCCGAAAGCUAUUUAGGUAGCGCCUCGUGAAUUCAUCUCCGGGGGUAGAGCACUGUUUCGGCAAGGGGGUCAUCCCGACUUACCAACCCGAUGCAAACUGCGAAUACCGGAGAAUGUUAUCACGGGAGACACACGGCGGGUGCUAACGUCCGUCGUGAAGAGGGAAACAACCCAGACCGCCAGCUAAGGUCCCAAAGUCAUGGUUAAGUGGGAAACGAUGUGGGAAGGCCCAGACAGCCAGGAUGUUGGCUUAGAAGCAGCCAUCAUUUAAAGAAAGCGUAAUAGCUCACUGGUCGAGUCGGCCUGCGCGGAAGAUGUAACGGGGCUAAACCAUGCACCGAAGCUGCGGCAGCGACACUAUGUGUUGUUGGGUAGGGGAGCGUUCUGUAAGCCUGUGAAGGUGGCCUGUGAGGGUUGCUGGAGGUAUCAGAAGUGCGAAUGCUGACAUAAGUAACGAUAAAGCGGGUGAAAAGCCCGCUCGCCGGAAGACCAAGGGUUCCUGUCCAACGUUAAUCGGGGCAGGGUGAGUCGACCCCUAAGGCGAGGCCGAAAGGCGUAGUCGAUGGGAAACAGGUUAAUAUUCCUGUACUUGGUGUUACUGCGAAGGGGGGACGGAGAAGGCUAUGUUGGCCGGGCGACGGUUGUCCCGGUUUAAGCGUGUAGGCUGGUUUUCCAGGCAAAUCCGGAAAACCAAGGCUGAGGCGUGAUGACGAAGCACUACGGUGCUGAAGCGACAAAUGCCCUGCUUCCAGGAAAAGCCUCUAAGCAUCAGGUAACAUCAAAUCGUACCCCAAACCGACACAGGUGGUCAGGUAGAGAAUACCAAGGCGCUUGAGAGAACUCGGGUGAAGGAACUAGGCAAAAUGGUGCCGUAACUUCGGGAGAAGGCACGCUGAUAUGUAGGUGAAGCGACUUGCUCGUGGAGCUGAAAUCAGUCGAAGAUACCAGCUGGCUGCAACUGUUUAUUAAAAACACAGCACUGUGCAAACACGAAAGUGGACGUAUACGGUGUGACGCCUGCCCGGUGCCGGAAGGUUAAUUGAUGGGGUUAGCGGUAACGCGAAGCUCUUGAUCGAAGCCCCGGUAAACGGCGGCCGUAACUAUAACGGUCCUAAGGUAGCGAAAUUCCUUGUCGGGUAAGUUCCGACCUGCACGAAUGGCGUAAUGAUGGCCAGGCUGUCUCCACCCGAGACUCAGUGAAAUUGAACUCGCUGUGAAGAUGCAGUGUACCCGCGGCAAGACGGAAAGACCCCGUGAACCUUUACUAUAGCUUGACACUGAACAUUGAGCCUUGAUGUGUAGGAUAGGUGGGAGGCUUUGAAGUGUGGACGCCAGUCUGCAUGGAGCCGACCUUGAAAUACCACCCUUUAAUGUUUGAUGUUCUAACGUUGGCCCGUAAUCCGGGUUGCGGACAGUGUCUGGUGGGUAGUUUGACUGGGGCGGUCUCCUCCUAAAGAGUAACGGAGGAGCACGAAGGUUGGCUAAUCCUGGUCGGACAUCAGGAGGUUAGUGCAAUGGCAUAAGCCAGCUUGACUGCGAGCGUGACGGCGCGAGCAGGUGCGAAAGCAGGUCAUAGUGAUCCGGUGGUUCUGAAUGGAAGGGCCAUCGCUCAACGGAUAAAAGGUACUCCGGGGAUAACAGGCUGAUACCGCCCAAGAGUUCAUAUCGACGGCGGUGUUUGGCACCUCGAUGUCGGCUCAUC